This 77-nucleotide transfer RNA is filed under the name Calditrichota bacterium. Its description in RNAcentral is "Calditrichaeota bacterium (hydrothermal vent metagenome) tRNA-Thr". Lineage: Bacteria; Pseudomonadati; Calditrichota. The record is from RNAcentral.
GGGGGUGUUGUAGCGCAGCCUGGUUAGCAGCGUGGCGCGGUGCGCCAAGGUCGCCAGUUCAAAUCUGGCCGCCCCGA